AUUGAACGCUGGCGGCAUGCUUUACACAUGCAAGUCGAACGGUAACAGGGUGCUUGCACCGCUGACGAGUGGCGAACGGGUGAGUAAUGCGUCGGAACGUGCCGAGUAGUGGGGGAUAACGCAGCCAAAGUUGUGCUAAUACCGCAUACGUACUGAGGUAGAAAGUGGGGGACCUUCGGGCCUCACGCUAUUCGAGCGGCCGACGUCUGAUUAGCUAGUAGGUGAGGUAAAGGCUCACCUAGGCGACGAUCAGUAGCGGGUCUGAGAGGAUGAUCCGCCACACUGGGACUGAGACACGGCCCAGACUCCUACGGGAGGCAGCAGGGGGGAAUUUUGGACAAUGGGCGAAAGCCUGAUCCAGCCAUGCCGCGUGUCUGAAGAAGGCCUUCGGGUUGUAAAGGACUUUUGUCAGGGAGGAAAUCCCUAGUGCUAAUAACACUGGGGGAUGACAGUACCUGAAGAAUAAGCACCGGCUAACUACGUGCCAGCAGCCGCCGUAA
This 500-nucleotide ribosomal RNA is filed under the name uncultured bacterium. Its description in RNAcentral is "partial 16S ribosomal RNA". It matches the Rfam family "Bacterial small subunit ribosomal RNA", at positions 30 to 523 of the family's 1533-position model. The record is from RNAcentral.